UGCCUUUGCCCUUUUGCGUUUCUCUGAAG
Molecule: non-coding RNA, 29 nt
Filed under: Mus musculus (house mouse)
Lineage: Eukaryota; Metazoa; Chordata; Mammalia; Rodentia; Muridae
Source: RNAcentral